AUUGAACGCUGGCGGCAUGCCUUACACAUGCAAGUCGAACGGUAACAGGUCUUCGGAUGCUGACGAGUGGCGAACGGGUGAGUAAUACAUCGGAACGUGCCCGAUCGUGGGGGAUAACGCAGCGAAAGCUGUGCUAAUACCGCAUACGAUCUACGGAUGAAAGCGGGGGAUCGCAAGACCUCGCGCGGACGGAGCGGCCGAUGGCAGAUUAGGUAGUUGGUGGGAUAAAAGCUUACCAAGCCGACGAUCUGUAGCUGGUCUGAGAGGACGACCAGCCACACUGGGACUGAGACACGGCCCAGACUCCUACGGGAGGCAGCAGUGGGGAAUUUUGGACAAUGGGGGAAACCCUGAUCCAGCCAUGCCGCGUGCAGGAUGAAGGCCUCGGUUGUAACUAGCUUUG
RNAcentral lists this ribosomal RNA (403 nucleotides) under uncultured bacterium. RNAcentral's name for it is "bacterial SSU rRNA". It matches the Rfam family "Bacterial small subunit ribosomal RNA", at positions 30 to 437 of the family's 1533-position model. The record is from RNAcentral.